RNAcentral lists this ribosomal RNA (2792 nucleotides) under Oceanomicrobium pacificus. Its description in RNAcentral is "Rhodobacteraceae bacterium KN286 23S ribosomal RNA". It matches the Rfam family "Bacterial large subunit ribosomal RNA". Lineage: Bacteria; Pseudomonadati; Pseudomonadota; Alphaproteobacteria; Rhodobacterales; Paracoccaceae. The record is from RNAcentral.
GAUCGGAUCAAGCGCGAAAAGGGCGUUUGGUGGAUGCCUAGGCAGUAAGAGGCGAUGAAGGACGUGAUACUCUGCGAUAAGCCUUGGGGAGCUGAGAAUACGCUUUGAUCCAAGGAUUUCCGAAUGGGGGAACCCACCUGACACUUCGUUAUUGUUUGCCGUUCGCGGCAAAGGAUAGCGAUGGUGAACCAGGUACUUCUAACCUGAAUACAUAGGGUUAAAAGAGCAAACCCGGGGAACUGAAACAUCUAAGUACCCGGAGGAAAGGACAUCAACAGAUACUCCGUUAGUAGCGGCGAGCGAACGCGGACCAGCCGAGCAAUGAUCGUGAGCAGAACCGGAUGGAAAGCCGGGCGAUAUGGGUGACAGCCCCGUAUGCGAAGCGAGAUUUGACGUAUUAAGUAGGGCGGGACACGUGAAAUCCUGUCUGAACAUCGGAGGACCACCUUCGAAGGCUAAGUACUCCUUACUGACCGAUAGCGAACCAGUACCGUGAGGGAAAGGUGAAAAGCACCCCGACGAGGGGAGUGAAACAGAUCCUGAAACCGGACGCCUACAAACAGUUGGAGCCUCCUUGAGGGGUGACAGCGUACCUUUUGUAUAAUGGGUCAACGACUUGGUCUUGCGUGCAAGCUUAAGCCGAUAGGUGUAGGCGCAGCGAAAGCGAGUCUUAAUAGGGCGAAUGAGUACGUAGGAUCAGACCCGAAACCGAGUGAUCUAGGCAUGACCAGGAUGAAGGUGCGGUAACACGCACUGGAGGUCCGAACCCACACCUGUUGAAAAAGGUCGGGAUGAGUUGUGCCUAGGGGUGAAAGGCCAAUCAAACUCGGAGAUAGCUGGUUCUCCGCGAAAUCUAUUUAGGUAGAGCGUCAGACGAAUACCGCCGGGGGUAGAGCACUGGAUGGGUAAUGGGGACCUACAGUCUUACUGAUCCUAACCAAACUCCGAAUACCGGCGAGUACUAUCUGGCAGACACACUGCGGAUGCUAACGUCCGUAGUGGAGAGGGAAACAACCCUGACCUACAGCUAAGGCCCCUAAUUCAUGGCUAAGUGGGAAAGCAGGUGAGACGACCAAAACAACCAGGAUGUUGGCUUAGAAGCAGCCAUCAUUUAAAGAAAGCGUAACAGCUCACUGGUCUAGACAAGUUGUCUUGCGGCGAAGAUGUACCGGGGCUCAAGCCAUGAGCCGAAGCUUAGGAUGCACUUUAUGUGCGUGGUAGCGGAGCGUUCUGUAUGCAGCGAAGGAUGUGGGUGACCUAUUCUGGAGCGUACAGAAGUGAGAAUGUUGACAUGAGUAGCGAUAAACAGGGUGAGAGACCCUGUCGCCGAAAGUCCAAGGGUUCCUGCUUAAAGCUAAUCUGAGCAGGGUAAGCCGGCCCCUAAGGCGAGGCCGAAAGGCGUAGUCGAUGGGAACCAGGUUAAUAUUCCUGGGCCAGGAGGACGUGACGGAUCCUUACUGUUGUCAGACCUUAUCGGAUUGGUCUGGCAGCUGCGGGGUCCCUGGAAAUAGCCCUCCACUGGACCGUACCCGAAACCGACACAGGUGGACUGGUAGAGCAUACCAAGGCGCUUGAGAGAACUGCAUUGAAGGAACUCGGCAAAAUACCUCCGUAAGUUCGCGAGAAGGAGGCCCGGUUGGCAGGCAACUGUUGAUCGGGGGCACAAACCAGGGGGUGGCGACUGUUUACUAAAAACACAGGGCUCUGCGAAGUGGCAACACGACGUAUAGGGUCUGACGCCUGCCCGGUGCCGGAAGGUUAAAAGGAGGUGUGCAAGCACCGAAUUGAAGCCCCGGUAAACGGCGGCCGUAACUAUAACGGUCCUAAGGUAGCGAAAUUCCUUGUCGGGUAAGUUCCGACCUGCACGAAUGGCGUAACGACUUCCCCGCUGUCUCCAAUGCAGACUCAGCGAAAUUGAAUUCCCCGUGAAGAUGCGGGGUUCCCGCGGUCAGACGGAAAGACCCCGUGCACCUUUACUACAGCUUCACACUGGCAUUAGGCGCGUAAUGUGCAGGAUAGGUGGUAGGCUUUGAACCCGGGACGCCAGUCUCGGUGGAGCCUCCCUUGAGAUACCACCCUUUAUUCGCUUGAUGUCUAACCGCGGUCCGUUAUCCGGAUCCGGGACCCUGUGUGGCGGGUAGUUUGACUGGGGCGGUCGCCUCCUAAAGAGUAACGGAGGCGCGCGAUGGUGGGCUCAGAGCGGUCGGAAAUCGCUCGUUGAGUGCAAUGGCAGAAGCCCGCCUGACUGCGAGACUGACAAGUCGAGCAGAGACGAAAGUCGGUCAUAGUGAUCCGGUGGUCCCGAGUGGAAGGGCCAUCGCUCAACGGAUAAAAGGUACGCCGGGGAUAACAGGCUGAUACUGCCCAAGAGUCCAUAUCGACGGCAGUGUUUGGCACCUCGAUGUCGGCUCAUCACAUCCUGGGGCUGGAGCAGGUCCCAAGGGUUCGGCUGUUCGCCGAUUAAAGUGGUACGUGAGCUGGGUUUAGAACGUCGUGAGACAGUUCGGUCCCUAUCUGCCGUGGGUGUAGGAGACUUGAGAGGAGCUGCCCCUAGUACGAGAGGACCGGGGUGGACGCACCACUGGUGGACCAGUUGUCGUGCCAACGGCAGUGCUGGGUAGCUAUGUGCGGACAGGAUAACCGCUGAAGGCAUCUAAGCGGGAAGCCCCCCUCGAAACAAGGUCUCCCUGAGGGCCGUGGAAGACCACCACGUCGAUAGGCCGGAGAUGUAAGCGCAGUGAUGCGUUCAGUUGACCGGUACUAAUCGCCCGAUAGGCUUGAUACGAUCCAGU